Molecule: long non-coding RNA, 2200 nt
Organism: Capsella rubella
Lineage: Eukaryota; Viridiplantae; Streptophyta; Magnoliopsida; Brassicales; Brassicaceae
Exons: 2
Source: RefSeq, a predicted model, not a curated record
UGAGUCCACAUUUGCUCUUUGUUCUUCACAUUUUCUGGGUUUGUUUUCAUAAUUGAACUUUGCAUUCUUAUUUUCUGGGAUUGUUUUCAAGAUUGUUCUUGGUGUUCUUAUUUUCUGGGUUACUAACCUACUAAAUUUGAGUUUUGAGCUUCUCAUUCCCAGGAAACAAAGAUGUCUUCAAGGAUUCCUCAACCCAGAAGGAAGAGCCUCUCAAGAGCACAAUGAGAAGCUCAUCACAGCCAAUCCGCUGAAGAAAUUGCAAGAAAUUUCUUGAUAGUCCAAGCCAUGGAGCUGGACUCGAUCGGGUCAGAAGUGGGAGAAGAGAAGCCCGAGCUCGGACCCGAUCACCCGAUCGGGCCAGUUGAUCGGGUAAGACCCUCCCGAUUUCCAGAGAAGAAGUUUCGAUUGGGAAGAGCCCUGCUGAAGAACAUGUUGAUGAACCAAUGGUGGAUUUGGAGCCUAGGAGGGUAGUGGCACCAAGGCAGACCAAGAACCUACCUUCUCCUGAAGAGCUAUACGCAAUGUUUAGGCGCCAAAAGUUCGUUGGAACUCGCUAUCCUCACCGGCAAACGAUAAAGGAGCUGGGCAUUGCACGAGAUGUGGAGUUUCUGGUCGAGAGAAGCGGGCUUGGUUCAUUCAUGACCAGGAAUUUAGAAGCCUACGAUGAGAAGAAGUGCUACGUGUUAGCCUCGCUCCAGCUCCAUUUCUAUGAGGAUGAAUCUGAGUUUCACUCGGAUGACUGUCUUUGAUACAUCACCUUCAGCGUGAGAGGUACUACCUAUUCUCUCACAUUUAAGGAAGUUGAGAAGCUCUAUGGGUUUUUGCAAGCAAACGGAAUGAGCCAAGAUAUGCUAAAGGAGGAGAUCAAAUCUGUUUGGAAAACCAUUGGAGAUGGGAAAGAAUACACUUCUUCAAAAUCCAAGAGUGCUCGAAUCCAAAGUCCAGUUGUGAGGUAUUUCUACAAGUCCUUGGCUAAUAUGAUUUUAGCUAGAAAGGAAACCGGGAAUGUGAAUGAGAGUGAGAUUCAGCUCAUAGACAUAGCAUUGAGCGGUGUAUUGCCAAGUACUAAGGAUGGUAGACAACUGGUAGGAGAUAGAACGGAUGGUAGCAUGGUCUCAGUUCUAUUAGACCAGUUUAUGUAUUGCAAGGAUUGGGUAAUUAAGGCUGUUAGGAGAGGUGUGCAAGGACAUCUCAGUAUUGGUGGACUAGUCACUCCCUUAUUAGUAGCAUGUGAUGUGGAAUUACGGGGGAAAGUCUAUAACGCUCGCUGGAUUGACAUUGAGACCUUGACAAGAAUGCACUUCCUCGAUAGUGAGCGUCCCAACGGAUUUUACCUGUAUUAGUUCACUCACCCUUCACUUGGAGCAGCAAGAAUGGUGUUGCCAAACACCAAGCUUACAAAGAUCAUACUGGGUGCUAAUAUCGACUUUUGGCCACCUGUCUCGGCAUUAUAUGACCCGAACUAAGUCCAAGACCAAGUUCCUAGCUUUGAGCCAGUCCAACAAACUUAUGCACCUGAAAUCAGAGAAGAAGAACCUGCUAGGGAAGAUCAGGAAGAGGACUUCUAUUUUGAUGAGUGGGAAGAGUCCUCUAGGCAAUCAAGGGGGGUAAAAGAAGCUCAUAAAAAGAUUUGCAUCCUCCAGAAGUGAAACAAGUUCCAAAGCAAGACCAUCAAGGCAUUGAAGAACACUAUGAAGGAUCUUGCUGGUACAAUUAAGGAUAUGGGGGAGCAGAUUAAGGAGCUUCAGAACAAGGUUGGAUGCUCAACCUCCACAACAGCCAUGCCUAGUAGCUUGGGUAGGAGUGCAUCAGUCAGGAUACCUACCAAGUCCAACCUACCAGUUAGCUCGUCUAGAGUAUCAUUUGAUCCAAGAAGAAGGAAGAAGUCUGUUCAGAACCAGAAGAGAACCGUGAGCUGACACGAGUGCCUCACCCGAUCGCACACCCGAUCGGGCCGGAUCAUCACGAGCGUGUAGCGGAGAAGCUCGACGUCAUGAGCUCGUGGUUUGGAUCACACAAAAGGGAUUGUCGGAGUAGGGGGUCGGUUCGUGAGGAAGACGAGCAUCCUUCAUCCAAAAACGUACGAAGGCCAUAGCAUCUUUCUCUAACCUUUGGAACAACCUGUGAAAUAAAACCAGAAAUUAAUAUCGUUAUUGAAUGUUUGUAAACGCAAAUCUUAAAGGGAGGAAGAGAAUUCCUA